This is a long non-coding RNA of Sander lucioperca (pikeperch), 343 nucleotides long. RefSeq lists it as uncharacterized. The transcript is spliced from 4 exons. The record is from RefSeq and is a predicted model, not a curated record. Lineage: Eukaryota; Metazoa; Chordata; Actinopteri; Perciformes; Percidae.
GCAUUUAAGUCCAAGCAGAACUUCUCAAAUAUCAAACAAAAAUCUUUAUGUAUUAACAUCUAGAUAGAAGUCAUUAUAUUGUGUGGUGGGAAAAAGUACACUCUUAUUUUAAAUAUGUUAUUAGAUAUUAUUUUGUCUUGUGAUGUCUGUCAUAUAAUCAAUCAUAAUCAAGAAAUCAGACAAAUGUAACCACCUGAUAUUUUAUAGGGCCCACACAUAUAUUCACUUCUUUCUAAGAUUCUAGAUUGCAAGAUUCACUAUUAAUCAUGUAUCUAUAUGGGAGUUUAUUCAAUACACAUUGGGUUCAUGUUUUAAUUUUGUGUAUCAUGUUUAAGCACAAUUU